AUGCCAAUUUAUUUCCUGUGCCCAUUGGAUAUCCCUAUUGGUAUUAUCAAGCAGCUUGAAAGGAUUGAGAGGCAAUGCCCUUGGCGUGGUAAUUCUGAUACACCAAGACAAUCCCUAGCAGCUUGGGAAUUGGUAUGUAGGCCAAAAGCAAAUGGAGGACUGGGAGUGAUUAAUCUGCAAAUACAGAACCAAGCCCUUCUGGUAAAGCAUUUGCACAAGUUUUAUAACAAGGCUGACAUACCAUGGGUAUCUCUUAUUUGGGAUUCAUACUAUCAUGGAGUAGUUCCACAGGCCACUGUCUUAUGUGGCUCCUUUUGGUGGAAGGAUGUUUUUGAACUGGCUGAUAAUUACAGAGCGGUGGCUACUGUUAUAGUCAAUUCUAGGGAUUCAGUACUGCUUUGGUCUGAUGGCUGGCAUCUUGAUGGAUCCACAAGGCCUCUCCGAGAUAGAUUACCUCACCUGUUCUCCUAUGCAAUUGAUGACAAGAUUUCCGUCUCUGAUUUCUUAUCCACCCCUGAUAUUGCUUCAUUGUUCAAUCUGCCAAUAUCUCAAGUGGCUGCAACAGAGUUGUUAUGCUUACAGGACUGGAUAGCUAACUUACAGAGGAACCCCAUGGAAAGUGAUGUUUGGUGCUGGCUGGAUAAAGGAAAUUAUUCUGCUAAAAGUUACUAUACUCUGAUGCACACACAUCUUCCUGUUAUCCAGCCCUGUAGAUGGCUUUGGAAGAGCAAAUGCACAAUGAAAAUUAAAUGUUUUACUUGGUUGCUGUUCUUUGACAGACUGAACACCAAGGAUUUACUAGUCAGAAGGAAAUGGAGGUCCACUGAUAAGAUAAUCUCUGUGUCAUGUCACCCGCAAAAAAAAAAAUGUGCCCUGCUAGAAGAUAUGAGGAUAGGAUUCAUCUUUUCUUCUCAUGCAAUUUCAGCAUCAGGGUUUGGCACUACUUGCAGAUUGAUUGGACACACCAGGGUGACAUUGCUGAGUGCAUUCUGCAUGCUAAAAACAGUUUUGGCCAUCCAUUCUUCUUUGAGGUUUUCUUUACUGUGA
This 1047-nucleotide ribosomal RNA is filed under the name Triticum aestivum (bread wheat). Its description in RNAcentral is "partial small subunit ribosomal RNA". Lineage: Eukaryota; Viridiplantae; Streptophyta; Magnoliopsida; Poales; Poaceae. The record is from RNAcentral.